UCCUUGGCAGGGACUGGGAAGCAUAAAAACAAGAUUCCCACCCCUCCCUUUUAAAAGAAAAACUUAGUCUGUUUUGUUUUUAUUCUUUUUUGCUUUAAAGAGUAAGGGCUGCACACUCGGCUCCGUUUUGCAAAUUAGACUUCAGACCCCUCCUCCUGUCUCAGGGCUUAUUCAGUGGAAACAUCUACCCAGGGGACGCUCUCCCCUUCUCCCCUCCCCAAAACCCUGACCGCCGGCUUGGCUUUGCCUUCUCGUUGUUGGCAUGUUCAUAUAUAUAUGUAUUUUUUCCCGCGUCCAGACAGCCUCAGCUGGGGUUCCCGAAGGUCAGAAAAUGGCUAUUGAUUAAUCUAUUAGAAUAGUUGCCGAGUGAAAUAAAAACGACGUAAAAUAACAGGGAACCUAUAAAUAAAGAAGCCAUAACUAGCUGCUCCGGAGUUGUUAAACAACUUAGCAUGUGGGGGGAAAAAAUCGGAAAUGAAGUGCCGGGAAGGAGCCGGGAUUGGCAGCGGCCUGGACUUAGAGAAACCUUCCAAGACGUAACUUCCUCGGCAGUCGGCAGCAGGACAGGUGGAGGAUGCAGACCGUGCAUGCCGAGUGUCCUUGGCAAGGAAAGACAGUGAUGCUGCACAGCUGUGUGGCCCGCAGGCUUUCGAACCGUUUACAAUGCCUUCUGAACAGCCUCCCGCGAAAACGGCCAGAGUGUGAGCUGGCUGCCCACUACCCACAGAUGCAGGGGUCGUGGCUGCAACUGUCCGAGUAACCCAAACACCACAACAGGAAGCUCGGGAGGACAAAAAAGAAAACCGAAAUUUACAAAUUCAGGAAUUCCUUUUCAUCGGCGGCGGUACCCAGCCCCAGUGGUUGGCUGGGGCCGCCGCAGCGCAAGCCACCGUGCGCCUAGGAGGCUGGGCCGGCGCGAACCAGUGCACGUGUGUGUGUGCGCGCACGGGAGGGUGGCGGCUUCGGGGGCCGCCCUCCGCAGUCUUCUGGAGGUUGCGUCUCAAUGAGCCUAAUUUGGAUUCCGCUGUCCCGCCCGGGCUGGCUCGCAGGAUUCCCUGGGCGAUGCUGGUCGCUGCCUCUCACCUCCCCGGCCAAGACCGAGACGGAACCGUCCAUUCCCCGGUGCCUCUUUGUAACCUCCCUGGGGGAAAGCGGGGGCUGAACAACUCCCAGCCGCCAGUUCCAUUUGUUGCGCUUUUUUCCUUCGACACAAUAAAAGUCAA
Myotis davidii is the source of this 1223-nucleotide long non-coding RNA. RefSeq lists it as uncharacterized. The record is from RefSeq and is a predicted model, not a curated record. The transcript is spliced from 3 exons. NCBI's taxonomy places the organism in Eukaryota, Metazoa, Chordata, Mammalia, Chiroptera, Vespertilionidae.